Molecule: ribosomal RNA, 796 nt
Filed under: Aquiluna sp.
Lineage: Bacteria; Bacillati; Actinomycetota; Actinomycetes; Micrococcales; Microbacteriaceae
Description: bacterial SSU rRNA
Rfam family: Bacterial small subunit ribosomal RNA
Source: RNAcentral
UUUACGGAGAGUUUGAUCCUGGCUCAGGACGAACGCUGGCGGCGUGCUUAACACAUGCAAGUCGAACGAUGAAGCUGGAGCUUGCUCCGGCGGAUUAGUGGCGAACGGGUGAGUAACACGUGAGCAAUCUGCCCUUGACUCUGGGAUAACUGCGGGAAACUGUAGCUAAUACCGGAUACUUUCCUUGGUGGGCAUCCACUGAGGAAGAAAGAAUUUCGGUCAAGGAUGAGCUCGCGACCUAUCAGCUAGUUGGUGAGGUAAAGGCUCACCAAGGCGACGACGGGUAGCCGGCCUGAGAGGGUGACCGGCCACACUGGGACUGAGACACGGCCCAGACUCCUACGGGAGGCAGCAGUGGGGAAUAUUGCACAAUGGACGAAAGUCUGAUGCAGCAACGCCGCGUGAGGGACGAAGGCCUUCGGGUUGUAAACCUCUUUUAGCAGGGAAGAAGCGAAAGUGACGGUACCUGCAGAAAAAGCACCGGCUAACUACGUGCCAGCAGCCGCGGUAAUACGUAGGGUGCAAGCGUUGUCCGGAUUUAUUGGGCGUAAAGAGCUCGUAGGCGGUUUGGUAAGUCGGGUGUGAAAACUCAGGGCUCAACCCUGAGACGCCACUCGAUACUGCCAUGACUAGAGUCCGGUAGAGGAGUGUGGAAUUCCUAGUGUAGCGGUGAAAUGCGCAGAUAUUAGGAGGAACACCAACAGCGAAGGCAGCACUCUGGGCCGGUACUGACGCUGAGGAGCGAAAGCGUGGGGAGCGAACAGGAUUAGAUACCCUGGUAGUCCACGCCGUAAAC